This 477-nucleotide ribosomal RNA is filed under the name uncultured bacterium. RNAcentral describes it as "partial 16S ribosomal RNA". It matches the Rfam family "Bacterial small subunit ribosomal RNA", at positions 29 to 507 of the family's 1533-position model. The record is from RNAcentral.
AUUGAACGCUGGCGGCAUGCCUUACACAUGCAAGUCGAACGGUAACAGGUUAAGCUGCCGAGUGGCGCACGGGUGAGUAAUGUAUCGGAACGUUCCCAGUCGUGGGGGAUAACUGCUCGAAAGAGCAGCUAAUACCGCAUACGACCUGAGAGUGAAAGCGGGGGCUCGCAAGGCCUCGCGCGAUUGGAGCGGCCGCUAUCAGAUUAGCUAGUUGGUGGGGUAAAGGCUCACCAAGUCGACGACCUGUAGCUGGUCUGAGGGGACGACAAGCCACACUGGGACGGAGCCACGGCCCAGACUCCUGCGGGAGGCAGCAGUGGGGAAUGUGGGACAAUGGGGGCAAGCCUUAUCCAGCGAGGCCGCGUGCGGGAAGAAGGCCUUCGGGUUGUAAACCGCUUUUGUCAGGGAAGAAAAGGUUCUGGCUAAGACCAGGGACUCAUGACGGUACCUGAAGAAUAAGCACCGGCUAACUACGUG